RNAcentral lists this ribosomal RNA (761 nucleotides) under uncultured bacterium. RNAcentral describes it as "bacterial SSU rRNA". It matches the Rfam family "Bacterial small subunit ribosomal RNA", at positions 49 to 798 of the family's 1533-position model. The record is from RNAcentral.
CUACACAUGCAGUCGAACGGUAACAGGAAGCAGCUUGCUGCUUCGCUGACGAGUGGCGGACGGGUGAGUAAUGUCUGGGAAACUGCCUGAUGGAGGGGGAUAACUACUGGAAACGGUAGCUAAUACCGCAUAACGUCGCAAGACCAAAGAGGGGGACCUUCGGGCCUCUUGCCAUCGGAUGUGCCCAGAUGGGAUUAGCUAGUAGGUGGGGUAACGGCUCACCUAGGCGACGAUCCCUAGCUGGUCUGAGAGGAUGACCAGCCACACUGGAACUGAGACACGGUCCAGACUCCUACGGGAGGCAGCAGUGGGGAAUAUUGCACAAUGGGCGCAAGCCUGAUGCAGCCAUGCCGCGUGUAUGAAGAAGGCCUUCGGGUUGUAAAGUACUUUCAGCGGGGAGGAAGGCGAUAAGGUUAAUAACCUUGUCGAUUGACGUUACCCGCAGAAGAAGCACCGGCUAACUCCGUGCCAGCAGCCGCGGUAAUACGGAGGGUGCAAGCGUUAAUCGGAAUUACUGGGCGUAAAGCGCACGCAGGCGGUCUGUCAAGUCGGAUGUGAAAUCCCCGGGCUCAACCUGGGAACUGCAUUCGAAACUGGCAGGCUAGAGUCUUGUAGAGGGGGGUAGAAUUCCAGGUGUAGCGGUGAAAUGCGUAGAGAUCUGGAGGAAUACCGGUGGCGAAGGCGGCCCCCUGGACAAAGACUGACGCUCAGGUGCGAAAGCGUGGGGAGCAAACAGGGAUUUAGAUACCCUGGUAGUCCAC